RNAcentral lists this long non-coding RNA (843 nucleotides) under Trifolium pratense (red clover). RNAcentral describes it as "long non-coding RNA (TPRA_LNC006493)". The record is from RNAcentral. Lineage: Eukaryota; Viridiplantae; Streptophyta; Magnoliopsida; Fabales; Fabaceae.
UGAAAACAACCAAGCUAUAAAACUAAACUUCCACGUUGGUGUGGUUUUCCUUAAUGAGCCGUACCGCCUGUACGGCCAAACAAAGGCGUAAAUUCAUAUGGUUGUUGAUGUACUUAUAAUUCAAGAAAAGCCAAGUCUCGCAUCGCCCCAAGAUAUGACCUUAAUCCUUAUAGCUAGCAUGUAUAUUCCAAGAGUACUAGUUUUAUAGGAAAAUUUUCUUCAUCAUGAGAAUGUUAUCAUAUGUUAUAUACUAUUAUUACUAGCCCUACUUUCUGCAAGAGGCUAAGAGUAUAUAUAUUUGUAGCUAAAAUUUCCAUUGUGUGUGAUAUACUAUUUAUUACAGAAGUGCUAGGAUGCUAGCAUAUAUGUGUGCAAUAAAAACAUCGGCAUCUUCACCACAUUGACAUAUAAUAUUUAGUUUUCUCAAAAACUCAUUCUGCAACUCAAGUAAUCUAUAGUCAGGCUCUUCUGCUAUCGAUGAAACCGAAAGAAACACAAAAACCAGUGCGUUUGGUAUAGAUCAAGAGUUGUAUAGCUGGAUUCUUUACUCAUGACAUACUAGGAAGAAUUGCAGGAAAUCCUCAACCGUGUUGAAGGCAUUAUAACUACAGUACUCUACCUCCAAAAUCAAGAUCUACAUCCCGUCGCUACCCUUUCAGCCCCAUUUCGAUCUUACUUAUUGAAGUAAAUCUCCAUGAAAAAGGGGCAACUUUCGUGUAGUUUGUGAUUGGAUGUAACUGUUAAGAUUUUCUCUUGAUAAAUCUUUCUCUUAAUAGAUCUCUUCUUGUUCCUCAAUCUUCGGAGAAUGCGGCGUUGUAUUAUUGUAACUUUGUAAGUUCUCUG